UCUAAUAUGGCAGAUUAGUGCAAUAGAUUUAAGCUCUAUAAAUAAAGAAUAAACUUUUAUUAGAA
Molecule: transfer RNA, 65 nt
Filed under: Neohirasea japonica
Lineage: Eukaryota; Metazoa; Arthropoda; Insecta; Phasmatodea; Lonchodidae
Also listed under: 3 other names
Description: tRNA-Leu
Rfam family: tRNA
About the family: Transfer RNA (tRNA) molecules are approximately 80 nucleotides in length. Their secondary structure includes four short double-helical elements and three loops (D, anti-codon, and T loops).
Source: RNAcentral